Molecule: ribosomal RNA, 440 nt
Filed under: uncultured bacterium
Lineage: Bacteria
Description: partial 16S ribosomal RNA
Rfam family: Bacterial small subunit ribosomal RNA
Source: RNAcentral
CCUACGGGAGGCAGCAGUGAGGAAUAUUGGUCAAUGGGGGUAACCCUGAAGCAGCAACGCCGCGUGGAGGAUGAAGGUUUUAGGAUUGUAAACUCCUUUUGUUAGAGAAGAUAAGGUAGGUAUCUAACGAAUAAGCACUGGCUAACUCCGUGCCAGCAGCCGCGGUAAUACGGGGGGUGCAAGCGUUACUCGGAAGCACUGGGCGUAAAGAGCGAGUAGGCGGGAUAGCAAGUCAGAUGUGAAAUCCUAUGGCUUAACCAUAGAACUGCAUUUGAAACUGUUAUUCUAGAGUAUGGGAGAGGUAGGUGGAAUGCUUGGUGUAGGGGUAAAAUCCGUAGAGAUCAAGAGGAAUACUCAUUGCGAAGGCGACCUGCUAGAACAUAACUGACGCUGAUGCGCGAAAGCGUGGGGAGCAAACAGGAUUAGAUACCCGGGUAGUC